AAAGACUUAGUCCUAACCUUACUGUUAACUUUUGCUAAACAUAUACAUGCAAGUAUCUGCACCCCAGUGUAAAUGCCCCAGAUUUCUUACCUUGAGACGAAGGGAGCGGGUAUCAGGCACACCCACCGUUGUAGCCCAAGACACCUUGCUUAGCCACACCCCCACGGGUACUCAGCAGUAAUUAACAUUAAGCAAUAAGUGCAAACUUGACUUAGUUAUAGCAACACCUAGGGUUGGUAAAUCUUGUGCCAGCCACCGCGGUCAUACAAGAAGCCCAAGUUAACUGCAAUCCGGCGUAAAGAGUGGAACCACGUUGUCACGCCAACUAGGGUUGAAGCGCAACUGAACUGUCAUAAGUCCAAGAUGCCCCUAAAACCACCCUCAAGACGACCCUAGCAACCAUGACUGACUAGGCCCCACGAAAGCUAAGGUACAAACUGGGAUUAGAUACCCCACUAUGCUUAGCCCUAAAUCUUGGUACUUACCCCACUAAAGUACCCGCCCGAGAACUACGAGCACAAACGCUUAAAACUCUAAGGACUUGGCGGUGCCCCAAACCCACCUAGAGGAGCCUGUUCUGUAAUCGAUACCCCACGAUACACCCAACCGCCCCUUGCCAAAGCAGCCUACAUACCGCCGUCGCCAGCUCACCUCCUAUGAGAGCCCAACAGUGAGCACAACAGCCACACCCGCUAGCAAGACAGGUCAAGGUAUAGCCCAUGGGUCGGAAGAAAUGGGCUACAUUUUCUAAAAUAGAAAACUUACGGAAGGGGGUGUGAAGCCACCCCUAGAAGGCGGAUUUAGCAGUAAAGAGGGAUUAUAAAGCCCCCUUUAAACCGGCCCUGGGGCACGUACAUACCGCCCGUCACCCUCCUCAUAAGCUAUUAAACCACUAUAACUAAUACCCCCACCAGCCAAAGACGAGGUAAGUCGUAACAAGGUAAGUGUACCGGAAGGUACACUUAGCACACA
Molecule: non-coding RNA, 972 nt
Filed under: Ciconia nigra (black stork)
Lineage: Eukaryota; Metazoa; Chordata; Aves; Ciconiiformes; Ciconiidae
Description: partial 12S ribosomal RNA
Rfam family: Bacterial small subunit ribosomal RNA
Source: RNAcentral